This is a long non-coding RNA of Hipposideros armiger (great roundleaf bat), 2622 nucleotides long. RefSeq lists it as uncharacterized. The record is from RefSeq and is a predicted model, not a curated record. NCBI's taxonomy places the organism in Eukaryota, Metazoa, Chordata, Mammalia, Chiroptera, Hipposideridae. The transcript is spliced from 3 exons.
CAAGAAUCUGGAUACCGCGCCGAGAGGAGCCCACUCUCCGGUAACAAAGGGAUCGGGCAUUCGGCACAUAAAGAAAACGGGACUACGAAACCUCUAUACAUGAAUUCUCUCAUCCUUGCAACAACGCUUUAAAGUAACCUGCCUUUUAUUUCUUUUACAUCCUAAGAAGAGAUGGCUCUCUGCCGGUAUCUCUAAAGCGGGCCCAGCUUCAGGCCAGCAGUUCAUUCCCCUCCUGGGAAGAAAAUGCCUGUACGCGGAUGGCAGCCAGCACAUACUUUACUCACAACAGUCAGCAGAUGGCUGUGGAUCCCUUCUGUUCCCAGGAAUCACAUCGGGACUAAUUGCAUUGUGCAUUUUCCAUCAUUGGUAGCUAAUCCCAACAGUGACGUCGGGCAUCAUUAUUAGUAGACGAAGGACAGACAAAGAGAGAGGGGAAAUGACUUGGGCUGAGUCACACAGCAAAGUUAGAACCCCGAGCUCCCAGCGACUAACCUCGCCCUGGGCUCUGUCCCACAUACCUGGCAGCUCCAGAGACUUGCUGUUUUUGUACUCUGGGCAACAAACUCUCUGGCUAAUCAAGCGGGUCUGACUUGUCUUGUGGAGAAAUGAAGCAAAAUCUUUCUUGGGAUGGUAUCAUCUAAUCUUUCUGCUUUUCCUGGUUGGCAGGAAACCAGAGUCCUCAAUUUUUGCUGAAUGACCAUGAACACAAUAUUGAAAGUCUCUGGACUCUCAGUUUUCCCUUCAGUAAAAUACGGACAAGAAUUAUUGAUGCCCACGCCCAGAGAAACUGGAUGAGCUAGGGAGAGAAGGAUUGGGUGCACUUAUCCAAUCUAUUCUGCAUUAUUCUUUACACUGGUGAACACCAAACCUGGCAGAACAGCAUAAUCACAUGGAUAACCUGAAAAAAUACAAAUUCCUGGGCCUUGACCAGCCCAGCUUCCUUGGAUUUUUCCUCUUUUCUCCUGGACAUAGCCCCCAAUGUGAAGGGAACCCCUGUGAGUUGAGCAGUGGGGUGGUCUUUAACUUUUCUAUUUAAAUCCUCUCCAACUUAGUUGAAAGGCACCUUCUCUAUGAGAUGGAACGCAUUGUAACCUGUCUCCUCUGCGCUCUUCCUUGGAUUCACUGUUUCCCAGUUUUGGUACUUCUCACAUAUUGCCUAUUAUUUUCACUUAACUCUUUCACACCUUUGCCUCUUGUGUCCUCAGUUAGCUACUGGAGAAUAAGAACCCUUCUCUUAUUGCCCUACAAAUGUCAGCUCCGGUAGCACAUAGUAUGUGCUCAAUCAAUAUUUGUUGACUUGCAAAUCCUCUGAUUAGGAAACUCUGGAAUAAUUUCUUACUUAUUAUGGGAGGUGCUCUGUGUCCUUUGGAAGCUUUCUGAUCACAUGGAAGGAACUUUAAAUGAAGAGGCAGGAGCCUUAGCUUCCAAUCCUGGCUGUGUAAUAAACUCCCAUUGUGACUUGCAGCAAAUCACUUGCUUUCUCUAGCCUUUAAUUCCCUCAUUGGUGAAACCAGGGCUGAUCUGUAAAGGUUUUUUUAGCUCUGGCUUUGGGCUACUCUAGAUAGCAAGGGGCAGCCUUUUCCAUGUUAGUGUCAUUAAGGCCCACAAUACCUAUUUUUUCCUAUUAGUACUUCCCAAUUGAUGGGUCAUCCCCAGUUUAUAAAAUGAGAAACUCAAGCAAAGAGUAAAUAAAUGCUUUGGCCAAGCUUCCAUGCAUAGCGUGUGUCCAUGUGUGUAUGGGAAGCUCACUCCUCACCCCAGGCCCUUGACUUUGACUGGAUUCUUCCAUCCCAGAGCUAUUCAGCAGUCCUUCCCAAGUCUAGGAUUGUCAACACUUAAUAAUCUACAUGCCCCCUCUCUCCUCUAUGAAUGAUGCAGGGCAAAGGUAUAACAUUCCAACUGGGUUUCCUCUUGUUCCUCUGCACACUCCCAUCCAGGGCCAGAAUGCCAUAUUCAGUAUGAUCUGUUCAAAAACUGUUCUCUGAGGAGAAGAUGAAAGACAAGACACGAAUCCUUGCCCUCACAGAACUUCUAGUCUGCCUGGGAAGUGGGGACAAGAACGUGUGGGGAAAAGAUGUGCUACUAUACAUGAGGGAGGAUCUGGGAGCCAAGUGCUUCUUUGACACAUCUCCAGCACCUAGAACAGUGCCUGGUACAUAGAAGAUGCUCAACAAAUGCAUCAAAAUAGGUGAAAAAUGCCAUGGUUUUCAAACUUUUUCUUUUAAAGAGCGGAAAGCCUUUCUUCAGUGAAACAGGUGGAUGUAAGGCUGCCUGCUGUCUCCUCUGGGCCACAGAGACCAGUUAGAACACUUACUGCAGUCAGUUGGAAAGGAGAUACAGAUCAAGUCUUGCUCUUUUUCCUGAUAAACCUUAGCCACGGGGAUCCUGCCAAAAUAAGUGGAGAUUUGAAGAAUCUGGUCCUCCAAAGGGAAUAUUUCCAUCUGAAAAAGUGUUGUCAAUCUUUCCUCUCCCCUCCUUCUGCAGAGCUCCAACUAGUAAGGGUGGAGGGGAGGAAGUUUUGAGUAGAGGACUUCUGAGUUGGUCCACAGAUCAAUGUAAUGUUUGUUUACUUUAAAUAAAGAAGGAAAGAAAAUCAAUGUGGUAAUGUUUUUCAGUAUUCGG